This 499-nucleotide ribosomal RNA is filed under the name uncultured bacterium. Its description in RNAcentral is "partial 16S ribosomal RNA". It matches the Rfam family "Bacterial small subunit ribosomal RNA", at positions 28 to 507 of the family's 1533-position model. The record is from RNAcentral.
GACGAACGCUGGCGGCGUGCUUAACACAUGCAAGUCGAACGGGCCCGCCCCUGUUUUUGGGGGUGGGUUGAGUGGCGAACGGGUGAGUAUCACGUGAGUAACCUGCCCCCUGCUCCUGGAUAACUGCUUGAAAGGGCGGCUAAUACGGGGUGUGCCGGCUGGUCCGCAUGGGCCUGGUCGGGAUAGUUUCAUCUUCGGGUGUUUCGGUGGGGGAUGGGCUCGCGGCCUAUCAGCUUGUUGGUGGGGUGAUGGCCCACCAAGGCGGUGACGGGUAGCCGGCCUGGGAGGGUGGGCGGCCACACUGGGACUGAGACACGGCCCAGACUCCUGCGGGAGGCAGCAGUGGGGGGUAUUGCACAAUGGGCGGAAGCCUGAUGCAGCGACGUCGCGUGAGGGAUGGAGGCCGUCGGGUUGUGAACCUCUUUCUCCGGUGGUGAAGGCCCUGUCCGUUGCGGCGGGGUUGACGGUAGCCGGGUAUGAAGCGCCGGCUAACUACGUG